RNAcentral lists this ribosomal RNA (549 nucleotides) under uncultured Glomus. RNAcentral's name for it is "SSU rRNA". It matches the Rfam family "Eukaryotic small subunit ribosomal RNA", at positions 548 to 1098 of the family's 1831-position model. Lineage: Eukaryota; Fungi; Glomeromycota; Glomeromycetes; Glomerales; Glomeraceae. The record is from RNAcentral.
UUGGAGGGCAAGUCUGGUGCCAGCAGCCGCGGUAAUUCCAGCUCCAAUAGCGUAUAUUAAAGUUGUUGCAGUUAAAAAGCUCGUAGUUGAAUUUCGGGAUCAAUAUAUCGGUCGUGCCAUUGGUACGUACUGGUAUCAUUGGUUUCUCCUUUCUGACGAACCAUGAUGUCAUUAAUUUGGUGUUAUGGGAAGUUAGGACUGUUACUUUGAAAAAAUUAGAGUGUUUAAAGCAGGCUUUAGCUUGAAUACAUUAGCAUGGAAUAAUGAAAUAGGACGUUCGAACCUAUUUUGUUGGUUUCUGGGAUCAACGUAAUGAUUAAUAGGGAUAGUUGGGGGCAUUAGUAUUCAAUUGUCAGAGGUGAAAUUCUUGGAUUUAUUGAAGACUAACUACUGCGAAAGCAUUUGCCAAGGAUGUUUUCAUUAAUCAAGAACGAAAGUUAGGGGAUCGAAGACGAUCAGAUACCGUCGUAGUCUUAACCAUAAACUAUGCCGACUAGGGAUCGGAUGNUGUUAAUUUUUUAAUGACUCAUUCGGCGCCUUACGGGAAAC